Molecule: ribosomal RNA, 226 nt
Filed under: Cyclophora tenuis
Lineage: Eukaryota; Bacillariophyta; Fragilariophyceae; Cyclophorales; Cyclophoraceae
Description: partial Bacterial small subunit ribosomal RNA
Rfam family: Bacterial small subunit ribosomal RNA
Source: RNAcentral
GAUUUAUUGGGUUUAAAGGGAGCGUAGACGGGAUGUCAAGUCAGCUGUGAAAGUUUGCGGCUUAACCGUAAAACUGCAGUUGAAACUGGCGUUCUUGAGUGCGUUCGAGGCAGGCGGAAUUCGUGGUGUAGCGGUGAAAUGCUUAGAUAUCACGAAGAACUCCGAUUGCGAAGGCAGCAUGCUGGGCCGUUACUGACGCUGAGGCUCGAAAGUGCGGGUAUCAAAC